CUCAACAAGAGAGGGCUAAUGAAGUCGCGUGUUUGAAACGAGGAUUCCUGAAAUUCUUCAGACAUUGUUCAACACAAUCGAGACCAUACCAGCGUUGUUCAACCCCCUUUGAUGGUUUUGUACACACAAGGAAGGCUUUGCAGGCAUCCAGUCGGACGGCGAUAAUCCACCUGCAUCUGUUUGGCUUCGAGUGAUAAAGAGGAAGUGGUCUGAACCAAGGGGGACGGGACCGUUCACCGUGACUGCGCGGACUUCACACGCCAACCAACUUGAAGGAAAAGGGACUACCUGGUUCCACAGCCCCGGAUGGAAAAGUAACGAAAGCCCUACAUGGGUUAAAAACUUUGGCUGCUGAAAUGGCAGAUUCAACAAGCGUUUUCAACCACCUGGAAGAUUGGGCUACGGCAUGGUUAGGAAAAUGGAAACACCUUAUUGUCUUGGAAGUGGUGGAAAAGAAUAUGAACCAGCCGGAAUCACAGAUGUUGAUGACCUCCGAAGAAGCUCCUACUCCUGAAGUUCUGCUCACACAAGACGACGUCGUGUCCAGAUGGAUGUAUUAUUGAUUAAAAAUAUACAGUGUCCUUUCUCUUAGAAUGUUACGGGACUUGUCUUUUUCCCUCCUCAAAUCAAUAUAUGGGGAUGUUUUUGGCCUGUCUCAAGAGUAGUACUGCCUUAUGAAGAAUAAUUAGCUCAUGAUUACGUUGUUUAUAUAUCCUCUGAUAGCCUUCCACAAAGAGUAGUACUGCUUAGGGUCUGUUACAUAGUUCCACUAUGUAAACAGGGGGAUUGUUGGAUUGUUAUAUUUCAUACUCAUGACGCUAUGUUCCAUUAUCUGACAAUUAAGUUCCGUUUCCAAAACACGAGGGUGAUACAUGAUUAAGUUUUGUUAUCCAUGAAAUUAUGUAGGAGUUUAGAUUAUUGAGGAAUGGUGGUUUUAAUACGACUCUCCCAUUUUGUGUUAACACCCAAUGCCAGAGAUAACUUCUGCCAAAAAGUCAUAACAAAACCUUCUGCUGAAGAAUCAUAACGAAACCUUCUGAUGUGUAUAAAAGUAGUCAGCUCAAUA
Phyllopteryx taeniolatus (common seadragon) is the source of this 1066-nucleotide long non-coding RNA. RefSeq lists it as uncharacterized. NCBI's taxonomy places the organism in Eukaryota, Metazoa, Chordata, Actinopteri, Syngnathiformes, Syngnathidae. The record is from RefSeq and is a predicted model, not a curated record. The transcript is spliced from 3 exons.